UGAAAGGCAGAUAUAUAUAAAAAUUAUAGAGGCAGCUUCAAUCUUGAGCUCCUCUUUCAAAUGAAUAUUUGUUUUUGCCGGCUUCUUCGAUCCUCUUGAAGAGACUAAGAGUUUAGAAAUUCUACUGAUGGCAGCAAACAUGGAAUUUCGUCCAUGGCCGGAAACUGAAGCAUCAGAGUGUUUGAGUUCUUGUAGCGUUGUGGACAAAGUAUAUAGCAACUGUACAGAGGUGGAGUUUUUGCAGCAGAGAAAAGUUCAUUAGAAGGAGAAUGUGAUCCUAAAGAGGUUAGGGACCGAGUGGGUAUGGAUUCUCCCACAAUUGAAGCAAUUGCGAAAGAUUCUCGAAGCUUAGAAGUUUCAUAAGCUACAAAUCUGGAUGUCAAACAAGAAAGUCUUGAUGGUGAUGAUGAAGGGGUCAAAACGGUGCCGUCGUUUGAAGAUAAAAAAGAAGAAAAGCAGAAGAAAAAUAGUUAUUUUC
This 478-nucleotide long non-coding RNA is filed under the name Manihot esculenta (cassava). RNAcentral's name for it is "long non-coding RNA (MESC_LNC000056)". The record is from RNAcentral. Lineage: Eukaryota; Viridiplantae; Streptophyta; Magnoliopsida; Malpighiales; Euphorbiaceae.